Molecule: ribosomal RNA, 411 nt
Filed under: Microbacterium testaceum
Lineage: Bacteria; Bacillati; Actinomycetota; Actinomycetes; Micrococcales; Microbacteriaceae
Description: bacterial SSU rRNA
Rfam family: Bacterial small subunit ribosomal RNA
Source: RNAcentral
CAGCUUGCUUGGUGGAUCAGUGGCGAACGGGUGAGUAACACGUGAGCAACCUGCCCUGGACUCUGGGAUAAGCGCUGGAAACGGCGUCUAAUACUGGAUAUGAGCCUCUUCCGCAUGGUGGGGGUUGGAAAGAUUUUUUGGUCUGGGAUGGGCUCGCGGCCUAUCAGCUUGUUGGUGAGGUAAUGGCUCACCAAGGCGUCGACGGGUAGCCGGCCUGAGAGGGUGACCGGCCACACUGGGACUGAGACACGGCCCAGACUCCUACGGGAGGCAGCAGUGGGGAAUAUUGCACAAUGGGCGAAAGCCUGAUGCAGCAACGCCGCGUGAGGGAUGACGGCCUUCGGGUUGUAAACCUCUUUUAGCAGGGAAGAAGCGAAAGUGACGGUACCUGCAGAAAAAGCGCCGGCUAAC